UGUCCUCGGCAGUGUCCGACAGCUCAUUCAACAUUUUGCCUUGUUCCUGUAGCGACCCCGGGUCGGUUACGUACAGGUCGGUGUGCAAGUCCGCCCCGAGCGGAAAGCCUGAUGACCGUGCCAGACCUUCCCACCUGAACCGAUCGGUUCAAGGUCGUUAGAUGCGCAUCGGCAUGGCGGAGGACGC
RNAcentral lists this non-coding RNA (187 nucleotides) under Dokdonella immobilis. RNAcentral's name for it is "Dokdonella sp. LM 2-5 6S / SsrS RNA". It matches the Rfam family "6S / SsrS RNA". Rfam says of the family: E. coli 6S RNA was the first non coding RNA to be sequenced, but its function was unknown until recently. The record is from Rfam by way of RNAcentral. RNAcentral also lists the same sequence under 1 other name. Lineage: Bacteria; Pseudomonadati; Pseudomonadota; Gammaproteobacteria; Lysobacterales; Rhodanobacteraceae.